AGAGCAGUGGUGAUCGGCUUAUUUCAGAAUGCGUCUGGGGGGGAGUAUUCAGCAACCCAUCCGCAAGUGAGAGGUACGCAAGCUGGGCAAUGAUCUACUCAACCCAGCCCCCCAGGAUAGGGCGGUCCAAGUUAAUGUGCCAGCUGACGCGGUUAUACCUAGCGCCCCAGUGUUCGUUAAAAGUAUUCAUAAAAGUAGAGGCCUCCGUGGGCGGGUCAUGUGCAAUUAGCCGUCCUCUGGGGCACCCUUUUUUUUGGGGGAGGAGCGUAAAGCGGAUUAGGUACCCGCCUAACCCACCCCCACGGCCAAUGUGAGGGCGGACUCUUAGAGCGAGAAAAAAAAAUUCACUAGGCAGCUAAUAGGGGGGUGUAUAGGGGAGCCUGCGCGACUAACUUUGAUAGUCCUCGCUUUUAUUGAGCCCUUCGUGAGGUAGUGUAUGCCCGUAGGGAGUUUGUAGUUCGAUAUGUGAUCUCCGUAUGCGCGUCUAGUCGUAUAGUAGUUCAGGUCAACAUGCUCUUUGGGGGGGUCUUCGCGUGGGCUACAAUUCCUUAUGAGAAUGGAUCAGCGUGAGCUGAGAAGAAGGACUUAUUAGUAAAACUAAAGGGAGUGUGUUAAUUUGAAAUAACCCUUCUGGGGCACUUACUGCCCGCCAAAUCAUAACGGGCCCUCUUGGGGGGCCCGUUAUGAUUAAGGCGUAACAUGGUAGCCCAUCUAGAAAGAUGGGCUGGAUAGAAACAA
This 738-nucleotide ribosomal RNA is filed under the name Phallusia mammillata. RNAcentral's name for it is "small subunit ribosomal RNA". The record is from RNAcentral. Lineage: Eukaryota; Metazoa; Chordata; Ascidiacea; Phlebobranchia; Ascidiidae.